This 777-nucleotide ribosomal RNA is filed under the name Triticum aestivum (bread wheat). RNAcentral describes it as "partial small subunit ribosomal RNA". Lineage: Eukaryota; Viridiplantae; Streptophyta; Magnoliopsida; Poales; Poaceae. The record is from RNAcentral.
AUGGAUUGGAAUCCAAAGGUUCUAUGUUGGAACGUGCGGGGCUUGAAUAACCCCGCGAAGAGGAAUGUCGUGCAGGAGUUUGUGGUUGAAGCUAGAGCUAACCUCGGGUGUCUCCAAGAAACGAAACUGGAUGUAAUUGACCCAUUUAUUGUUAUACAAUACUUAGGGCCAUCGUUGGAUGGCUUUGCCUACUUGCCUGCGUCGGACACUCGUGGGGGUAUUCUCUUGGGGUGGGACACGAUGACUUUGGACGUGGACAACAUUGUCCUGGAUACUUACUCUCUCACAGGGCUGGUGCACUGCAAGGACGGGUCAGCAUGGUGGGUGACAUUUGUUUAUGGGCCGCAAGGGGACGAGGAGAAGAUGCAAUUUCUAGUCGAGCUCCGUAACAGACGGACGGUUCGUUCGGGGCCUUGGAUGGUGCUCGGGGAUUUCAACAUGAUCCUACGAGCGUAUGAGAAGAGUAACAAUAACUUAAACAGGAGGAUCAUGAGAAGGUUCAAUGAAUUCGUGGACGAUUGUGAGCUUAAGGAGCCAUAUUUGCAUGGGAGGCGUUUCACUUGGUCGAACGAACGGGAGCAGCCAGUUAUGACGAAGAUCGACCGCGUUCUUGUCUCGGUUGAUUGGGAACUCAACUACCCUGAUCUGCUAUUCCAAGCCCUUUCUACUAAUAUCUCAGAUCAUGCCCCUCUACACUUAUCCACAUCCGCGCCUUUUUGUGCUAAGAAACGAUUUCGCAUUGAGAUGUUUUGGUUGAAGUUGGAUGGCUUUGAAUAG